This 1677-nucleotide long non-coding RNA is filed under the name Salmo salar (Atlantic salmon). RNAcentral's name for it is "lncRNA (ENSSSAG00000088270.1)". The record is from RNAcentral. Lineage: Eukaryota; Metazoa; Chordata; Actinopteri; Salmoniformes; Salmonidae.
GUGUGGUGAUUUACAAUUAGUGGAGUGGCAACAGGUGUGGUGAUUUACAAUUAGUGGAGUGGGAACAGGUGUGGUGAUUUACAAUUAGUGGAGUGGGAACAGGUGUGGUGAUUUACAAUUAGUGGAGUGGGAACAUGUGUGGUGAUAUACAAUUAGUGGAGUGGGAACAGGUGUGGUGAUAUACAAUUAGUGGAGUGGGAACAGGUGUGGUGAUUUACAAUUAGGGAAUGUGGGAACAGGUGUGGUGAUAUACAAUUAGUGGAGUGGGAACAGGUGUGGUGAUUGACAAUUAGUGGAGUGGGAACAGGUGUGGUGAUAUACAAUUAGUGGAGUGGGAACAGGUGUGGUGAUUUACAAUUAGUGGAGUGGGAACAGGUGUGGUGAUUUACAAUUAGUGGAGUGGGAACAGGUGUGGUGAUUUACAAUUAGUGAAGUGGGAACAGGUGUGGUGAUUGACAAUUAGUGGAGUGGGAACAGGUGUGGUGAUUUACAAUUAGUGGAGUGGGAACAGGUGUGGUGAUAUACAAUUAGUGGAGUGGGAACAGGUGUGGUGAUUGACAAUUAGUGGAGUGGGAACAGGUGUGGUGAUUUACAAUUAGUGGUGUGGGAACAGGUGUGGUGAUUUACAAUUAGUGGAGUGGGAACAGGUGUGGUGAUUUACAAUUAGUGGAGUGGGAACAGGUGUGGUGAUAUACAAUUAGUUGAGUGGGAAAAGGUGUGGUGAUUUACAAUUAGUGGAGUGGGAACAGGUGUGGUGAUUUACAAUUAUGGAAUGUGGGAACAGGUGUGGUGAUUUACAAUGAGUGGAGUGGGAACAGGUGUGGUGAUUUACAAUUAGUGUAGUGGGAACAGGUGUGGUGAUUGACAAUUAGUGGAGUGGGAACAGGUGUGGUGAUUUACAAUUAGUGGAGUGGGAACAGGUGUGGUGAUUGACAAUUAGUGGAGUGGGAACAGGUGUGGUGAUUUACAAUUAGUGGAGUGGGAACAGGUGUGGUGAUUUACAAUUAGUGGAGUGGGAACAGGUGUGGUGAUUUACAAUUAGCUGAGUGGGAACAGGUGUGGUGAUAUACAAUUAGUGGAGUGGGAACAGGUAUGGUGAUUUACAAUUAGUGGAGUGGGAACAGGUGUGGUGAUUUACAAUUAGGGAAUGUGGGAACAGGUAUGGUGAUUUACAAUUAGUGGAGUGGGAACACGUGUGGUGAUUUACAAUUAGUGGAGUGGGAACAGGUGUGGUGAUUGACAAUUAGUGGAGUGGGAACAGGUGUGGUGAUAUACAAUUAGUGGAGUGGGAACAGGGUUGGUGAUUUACAAUUAGUGGAGUGGGAACAGGUGUGGUGAUUGACAAUUAGUGGAGUGGGAACAGGUGUGGUGAUUUACAAUUAGUGGAGUGGGAACAUGUGUGGUGAUUUACAAUUAGUGGAGUGGGAACAGGUGUGGUGAUUUACAAUUAGUGGAGUGGGAACAGGUGUGGUAAUUGACAAUUAUUGGAGUGGGAACAGGUGUGGUGAUUGACAAUUAGUGGAGUGGGAACAGGUGUGGUGAUUGACAAUUAGUGGAGUGGGAACAGGUGUGGUGAUUUACAAUUAGUGGAGUGGGAACAGGUGUGGUGAUUGACAAUUAGUGGAGUGGGAACAGGUGUGGUGAUUUACAAUUAGUGGAGUGGGAACAGGUGUGGUG